This 334-nucleotide small nuclear RNA is filed under the name Gopherus agassizii (Agassiz's desert tortoise). RNAcentral describes it as "7SK RNA (ENSGAGG00000003010.1)". The stretch from base 1 to 300 matches the Rfam family "7SK RNA". From Rfam's summary of the family: 7SK was discovered as an abundant small nuclear RNA in the mid-70s but a possible function has only recently been suggested. Two independent studies have found that 7SK RNA binds the CDK9/cyclin T complex (known as elongation factor P-TEFb). Lineage: Eukaryota; Metazoa; Chordata; Testudines; Testudinidae. The record is from Rfam by way of RNAcentral.
GGAUUGGGGUUUUUGUGUCUGGCUGCGACAUCUGUCUCCCCAUUGAUCGCCAGGGUUGAUUCGGCUGAUCUGGCUGGGUAGGCGGGUGUCCCCUUCCUCCCUCACCGCUCCAUGUGCAUCCCUCCCAAAGCUGCACACUCAGUCAAAGAGGACGACCUCCCAGAUAGAGGAGUUACGUUCUUCGGUCAAGGGUUUACGGUAGCUGCGGCCCCCUGGUAGAACCUCCAAACGAGCUCAAGAGUUUGUGCACAUGUUGUUUAAUUAGCUGGUGACAACAGCUGCUUUCCUUUGUUUUCUUUCUCAGUUCUUCCCCGGAGCGGGGGUGAAAGGGCUU